UGGGGAAUAUUGCACAAUGGGCGCAAGCCUGAUGCAGCCAUGCCGCAUGUAUGAAGAAGGCCUUCGGGUUGUAAAGUACUUUCAGCGAGGAGGAAGGCGUUGUGGUUAAUAACCGCAACGAUUGACGUUACUCGCAGAAGAAGCACCGGCUAACUCCGUGCCAGCAGCCGCGGUAAUACGGAGGGUGCAAGCGUUAAUCGGAAUUACUGGGCGUAAAGCGCAAGCAGGCGGUCUGUCAAGUCGGAUGUGAAAUCCCCGGGCUCAACCUGGGAACUGCAUCCGAAACUGGCAGGCUAGAGUCUUGUAGAGGGGGGUAGAAUUCCAGGUGUAGCGGUGAAAUGCGUAGAGAUCUGGAGGAAUACCGGUGGCGAAGGCGGCCCCCUGGACAAAGACUGACGCUCAGGUGCGAAAGCGUGGGGAGCAAACA
Molecule: ribosomal RNA, 427 nt
Filed under: uncultured bacterium
Lineage: Bacteria
Description: partial 16S ribosomal RNA
Rfam family: Bacterial small subunit ribosomal RNA
Source: RNAcentral